Non-coding RNA from Bos taurus (domestic cattle), 72 nucleotides. NCBI's taxonomy places the organism in Eukaryota, Metazoa, Chordata, Mammalia, Artiodactyla, Bovidae. The record is from Rfam.
UCCCUGGUGGCUCAGACGGUAAAGCGUCUGCCUACAGUGCAGGAGCCCCGGGUUGAAUCCCUGGGUUGGGAA